UACGUAGGGUGCGAGCGUUAAUCGGAAUUACUGGGCGUAAAGCGUGCGCAGGCGGUGAUGUAAGACAGGGGUGAAAUCCCCGGGCUUAACCUGGGAACUGCAUUUGUGACUGCAAGGCUGGAGUGCGGCAGAGGGGGAUGGAAUUCCGCGUGUAGCAGUGAAAUGCGUAGAUAUGCGGAGGAACACCGAUGGCGAAGGCAAUCCCCUGGGCCUGCACUGACGCUCAUGCACGAAAGCGUGGGGAGCAAACAGG
RNAcentral lists this ribosomal RNA (253 nucleotides) under uncultured bacterium. RNAcentral's name for it is "partial 16S ribosomal RNA". It matches the Rfam family "Bacterial small subunit ribosomal RNA", at positions 524 to 776 of the family's 1533-position model. The record is from RNAcentral.